GGCAGCACGGGGGCAACCCUGGUGGCGAGUGGCGAACGGGUGAGUAAUACCUAGGAACAUGUCCAGUAGUGGGGGAUAACGCAGCGAAAGCUGUGCUAAUACCGCAUACGCCCUACGGGGGAAAGCGGGGGAUCUUCGGACCUCGCGUUAUUGGAGUGGCCUAGGCCUGAUUAGCUAGUUGGUGAGGUAAAGGCUCACCAAGGCGACGAUCCGUAGCUGGUCUGAGAGGAUGAUCAGCCACACUGGAACUGAGACACGGUCCAGACUCCUACGGGAGGCAGCAGUGGGGAAUAUUGGACAAUGGGCGAAAGCCUGAUCCAGCCAUGCCGCGUGUGUGAAGAAGGCCUUCGGGUUGUAAAGCACUUUAAGCGAGGAGGAAGGGCUCUAGGUUAAUACCUUGGAGCAUUGACGUUACUCGCAGAAUAAGCACCGGCUAACUCUGUGCCAGCAGCCGCGGUAAUACAGAGGGUGCAAGCGUUAAUCGGAAUUACUGGGCGUAAAGCGCGCGUAGGUGGUUCGUUAAGUUGGAUGUGAAAUCCCCGGGCUCAACCUGGGAACUGCAUUCAAAACUGACGAGCUAGAGUAUGGUAGAGGGUGGUGGAAUUUCCUGUGUAGCGGUGAAAUGCGUAGAUAUAGGAAGGAACACCAGUGGCGAAGGCGACCACCUGGACUGAUACUGACACUGAGGUGCGAAAGCGUGGGGA
Molecule: ribosomal RNA, 704 nt
Filed under: uncultured Pseudomonadota bacterium
Lineage: Bacteria; Pseudomonadati; Pseudomonadota
Description: bacterial SSU rRNA
Rfam family: Bacterial small subunit ribosomal RNA
Source: RNAcentral